UUUUUUCGCAACUAAACUCUCCAGUAAGUCUCUACUGAUACCAAAUUAUGAUACAAGAAAGUCGAAUCUCGGGUGACACGGAGGAGACAAAUGUUAUAACAGUCUCAAAGAAAACAGAAAUCAGCUACAAAGGCUAUUCUAGACAAGUAUUUAACAUCACAGAAAAAACCUAAAUGGGGACUUCCAUUUUUAUUGGUGCAUGUAAGGUAUUUACUGAUGCAUUUUGAAGCCAAUCCUUGGCGCAAAUGAGGGCCUCCACGGUCUCAGGUCGCAAGGAACACCUGUAGCGAUCCAUCUCUUUGCCUACCGUGCUAAACACAGAAUCAGCUGUUACAGUAGAAACUGGAACAGACAAGAUGUCACGAGCCAUUUUUGACAGAGUUGGGUACUUCAUUCUGUUCAGUUUCCACCACCCAACAACGUCAAACUCAUGAACACGAGGCAACAAGGACUCAUCCAAAUAUUGAUCAAGUUCUGACCUUGACUGCUGGCUUGUUGUCUCCAUAAUAUAGGCAUCAAAAUCUGUAAGUCCGCCCCCACCAUUCUCCUGCUUCAAAGCUCCAUCAUCUACCUCUUCAGCAUAAGCUGGGGUCAGAGGCAGAGGAAGUGCCACGUAUUCAAGGAAGAGCUCGUGGAUUCCCUCCUCAACGAACUUCACAAAGGUGGCAGCUUCUUCACCAUAUAUUUUUGUAAAGCUGAAUUCUACAAGUUUCAUUUUGAAGCGUGGAUCCAUUACAACGGCAAUAGCUAAUAUUAGACAACAACUCUUCCAGUAUUUAUCAAACUCCUCUUGCAUUGUUUUGGUAAGACCGCUUAUGGAUGGAUCUUCACUUGCUGCAGCACGAGCCAGUUCCAAUUGAAUCUUCCAUGCUUCAUGGAAGAAUGUGUUGGUUGUUGGAAUUGUUGGUGCAGUCAGAAGAUUGGCAGUGUCAAAGAGGAUCUUCAAGUAAGUACAAAGAACCUCAACUUGCUUCCAAUCAUCCAUUGACAGGGCAUCCUUGUAAUCGGGAUCAGAUGUAUCCAAGCAUGAAAACACUUCCUUUAACUCUGAUGCAGCUAACAACAUCUCAUAUGUGGUGUUCCAUUGAGUCUGGUCAUCAAGAGCCAAAGUCUUUGUGCUUGGCACUUGAAGCUGCUGUUUGAGCUCAAUAAACUUUUCCUCGUGAAAUUCUGAUGUUUUCACGUACUUGACGCUAUCUCUUACUUUCUUAACAGUUUCAUGCAAAAAAUUAAAUGCACCUUGGGCAAUGCUGCUUAAAGUUCGAGCAAGACAACUUCCGACCAACAACUGACCGUUGAGCACAAGAGGGUUCUUCACAGAUAGUAAAGCUCUAAGAUUAUCAACAGAAGCAUCACCCAACGGUUGAUUAAUAGUGACAGAAAACAACUUACCUUCCAUACUCCAGUCAGAAAGGCAAGCAGCAACAGCAUGGCUGAAAGCCGUGUCAGAAUCUGGAUAUGGUUCCAUAAUGAUAUUGAGUAUUUUCCUGUGAAUUUUCCACUCACUGUCAAUAUACUGCCCGGUUAUGAACACAUAGCCCACAGUGUAGCAGGAGGACCACAUAUCUAGCGUUAAGCAGAUACGCCCAGGCACUCCCUCAAUGACCUUCUGAAUGGCUUGCUUCUCUCUAAGAUAAGUUGCCACACAAUCUCCUUGCACAGUGUUGAAGCUCACCAUAUCAAAACGAGGUUGAAGAUUCUGCACAAAAGCAAGAAAGCCUGGAUGCUCAACCAUGUGAAGGGGAUAGUCGUGCAUGAUGAUCAUCUUAGAGAUCUCUUGACGGCACCGGUCAGGAUCAAAAGCAAGGUAAGGAGAAGAUGCAGUCCUAUAACGCCGUUUUGGUGCAUCAGUACUACCACCAUAUCCACUCAUCUUAGGAGGUGUACUAUAUGGGCUCAAUUGAUUAUUCUGUUGGUUACGUAGGACAACUGGACAGGUUCCUUUUGCAAUAUGGCGUUUCAGGUGACUAGUGCCAGCUACUUUUGAACCUGUACUAUAUGCAAAUGAUUGCUUGCACUGCUUACAUUGUGCCCUUCUAGUUCCACCGCCGACAUUUUCAAUGGUGAAGUGUUCCCAAACUAUUGACUUCUUCUUCCUACGCUUGCUGGGCUGUGUUUCUGGAUUGUUUGGAGGUGUUUCUAUAUAGUUGGGUUGUGGUUCAGCAAGGACCAUCUCAUUUAGUGGGAUCAUCUCAUCAUCCGGGACCAUCUCAUUGCUAGGGACUAUCUCAUGCCCAAGCACCAUAUGAUGUUCAUGCAUCAUCUCAUGUUCCGGCAUCAUCUCAUGACUAUGUUCAUGCAUCAUCUCAUGUUCCGGCAUCAUCUCAUGACUAUGUUCAUGCAUCAUCUCAUGUUCCGGCAUCAUCUCAUGACU
RNAcentral lists this unclassified non-coding RNA (2374 nucleotides) under Hevea brasiliensis (rubber tree). The record is from RNAcentral. Lineage: Eukaryota; Viridiplantae; Streptophyta; Magnoliopsida; Malpighiales; Euphorbiaceae.